RNAcentral lists this ribosomal RNA (235 nucleotides) under Paenibacillus ottowii. RNAcentral's name for it is "partial 16S ribosomal RNA". It matches the Rfam family "Bacterial small subunit ribosomal RNA", at positions 88 to 316 of the family's 1533-position model. The record is from RNAcentral. Lineage: Bacteria; Bacillati; Bacillota; Bacilli; Caryophanales; Paenibacillaceae.
UAACCUAGCGGCGGACGGGUGAGUAACACGUAGGCAACCUGCCCACAAGACAGGGAUAACUACCGGAAACGGUAGCUAAUACCCGAUACAUCCUUUUCCUGCAUGGGUGAAGGAGGAAAGGCGGAGCAAUCUGUCACUUGUGGAUGGGCCUGCGGCGCAUUAGCUAGUUGGUGGGGUAAAGGCCUACCAAGGCGACGAUGCGUAGCCGACCUGAGAGGGUGAUCGGCCACACUGG